This 460-nucleotide ribosomal RNA is filed under the name uncultured bacterium. Its description in RNAcentral is "partial 16S ribosomal RNA". It matches the Rfam family "Bacterial small subunit ribosomal RNA", at positions 338 to 795 of the family's 1533-position model. The record is from RNAcentral.
CCUACGGGAGGCAGCAGUGAGGAAUAUUGGUCAAUGGGCGCUAGCCUGAACCAGCCAAGUAGCGUGAAGGAUGACUGCCCUAUGGGUUGUAAACCUCUUUUGCCGGGGAGCAACGGGCGCCACGUGUGGCGCCACUGAGAGUACCCGGAGAAAAAGCAUCGGCUAACUCCGUGCCAGCAGCCGCGGUAAUACGGAGGAUGCGAGCGUUAUCCGGAUUUAUUGGGUUUAAAGGGUGCGUAGGCGGAGCGUUAAGUCAGUGGUAAAAUUGAGGGGCUCAACCCCUUCCCGCCAUUGAAACUGGCGCUCUUGAGUGGAAGAGAGGUAUGCGGAAUGCGUGGUGUAGCGGUGAAAUGCAUAGAUAUCACGCAGAACCCCGAUUGCGAAGGCAGCAUGCCGGCUUCCGACUGACGCUGAAGCACGAAAGCGUGGGGAUCGAACAGGAUUAGAUACCCCUGUAGUC